Molecule: transfer RNA, 72 nt
Filed under: Plectoderini sp. SX-2018
Lineage: Eukaryota; Metazoa; Arthropoda; Insecta; Hemiptera; Achilidae
Description: tRNA-Asp
Source: RNAcentral
AAGGAGUUAGUUUAAAAAAACAAUUAUUUGUCAAAUAAUAGAUAUAUAUAUAUAUGUAAAAUAUACACCUUG